CCAGACUCCUACGGGAGGCAGCAGUGGGGAAUAUUGCACAAUGGGGGAAACCCUGAUGCAGCGACGCCGCGUGAAGGAUGAAGUAUUUCGGUAUGUAAACUUCUAUCAGCAGGGAAGAAAAUGACGGUACCUGACUAAGAAGCCCCGGCUAACUACGUGCCAGCAGCCGCGGUAAUACGUAGGGGGCAAGCGUUAUCCGGAUUUACUGGGUGUAAAGGGAGCGUAGACGGCAUGGCAAGUCUGAUGUGAAAACCCGGGGCUCAACCCCGGGACUGCUCUGGAAACUGUACGGCUGGAGUGCAGGAGAGGUAAGUGGAAUUCCUAGUGUAGCGGUGAAAUGCGUAGAUAUUAGGAGGAACACCAGUGGCGAAGGCGGCCUGCUGGACGGUGACUGACGCUGAGGCUCGAAAGCGUGGGGAGCAAACAGGAUUAGAUACCCUUGUAC
Molecule: ribosomal RNA, 445 nt
Filed under: uncultured bacterium
Lineage: Bacteria
Description: bacterial SSU rRNA
Rfam family: Bacterial small subunit ribosomal RNA
Source: RNAcentral